RNAcentral lists this transfer RNA (72 nucleotides) under Saccoglossus kowalevskii. RNAcentral describes it as "tRNA-Leu". It matches the Rfam family "tRNA". Rfam says of the family: Transfer RNA (tRNA) molecules are approximately 80 nucleotides in length. Their secondary structure includes four short double-helical elements and three loops (D, anti-codon, and T loops). Further hydrogen bonds mediate the characteristic L-shaped molecular structure. tRNAs have two regions of fundamental functional importance: the anti-codon, which is responsible for specific mRNA codon recognition, and the 3' end, to which the tRNAs corresponding amino acid is attached (by aminoacyl-tRNA synthetases). tRNAs cope with the degeneracy of the genetic code in two manners: having more than one tRNA (with a specific anti-codon) for a particular amino acid; and 'wobble' base-pairing, i.e. permitting non-standard base-pairing at the 3rd anti-codon position. The record is from RNAcentral. Lineage: Eukaryota; Metazoa; Hemichordata; Enteropneusta; Harrimaniidae.
GUUAAAAUGGCAGAAUGAUAAUGCAAAAGACUUAGGAUCUUUCCCUUGAGGGUUUGACUCCCUCUUUUAACU